This 207-nucleotide ribosomal RNA is filed under the name uncultured bacterium. RNAcentral describes it as "partial 16S ribosomal RNA". It matches the Rfam family "Bacterial small subunit ribosomal RNA", at positions 568 to 774 of the family's 1533-position model. The record is from RNAcentral.
CACGUAGGCGGAUAGGUAAGUCAGAUGUGAAAUCCCGGAGCUCAACUUCGGAACUGCAUUUGAUACUGCCUGUCUUGAGUGUGGUAGAGGGGGAUGGAAUUCCCGGUGUAGAGGUGAAAUUCGUAGAUAUCGGGAGGAACACCAGAGGCGAAGGCGAUCCCCUGGGCCACUACUGACGCUGAGGUGCGAAAGCGUGGGGAGCAAACA